UGAGGAAUAUUGGUCAAUGGGCGAGAGCCUGAACCAGCCAAGUAGCGUGAAGGAUGACCGCCCUAUGGGUUGUAAACUUCUUUUAUAUGGGAAUAAAGGGUGCCACGUGUGGCAUUUUGUAUGUACCAUAUGAAUAAGGAUCGGCUAACUCCGUGCCAGCAGCCGCGGUAAUACGGAGGAUCCGAACGUUAUCCGGAUUUAUUGGGUUUAAAGGGAGCGUAGGUGGACAUGUAAGUCAGUUGUGAAAGUUUGCGGCUCAACCGUAAAAUUGCAGUUGAAACUGCGUGUCUUGAGUACAGUAGAGGUGGGCGGAAUUCGUGGUGUAGCGGUGAAAUGCUUAGAUAUCACGAAGAACUCCGAUUGCGAAGGCAGCUCACUGGACUGCAACUGACACUGAUGCUCGAAAGUGUGGGUAUCAAACAGGAUUAGAUACCCUGGUAGUCCACACAGUAAACGAUGAAUACUCGCUGUUUGCGAUAUACAGUAAGCGGCCAAGCGAAAGCAUUAAGUAUUCCACCUGGGGAGUACGCCGGCAACGGUGAAACUCAAAGGAAUUGACAGGGGCCCGCACAAGCGGAGGAACAUGUGGUUUAAUUCGAUGAUACGCGAGGAACCUUACCCGGGCUUAAAUUGCAAAUGAAUAUGCCGGAAACGGCAUAGCCGCAAGGCAUUUGUGAAGGUGCUGCAUGGUUGUCGUCAGCUCGUGCCGUGAGGUGUCGGCUUAAGUGCCAUAACGAGCGCAACCCUUAUCUUCAGUUACUAACAGGUCAUGCUGAGGACUCUGGAGAGACUGCCGUCGUAAGAUGUGAGGAAGGUGGGGAUGACGUCAAAUCAGCACGGCCCUUACGUCCGGGGCUACACACGUGUUACAAUGGGGGGUACAGAAGGCCGCUACACAGCGAUGUGAUGCCAAUCCCUAAAGCCCCUCUCAGUUCGGAUCGAAGUCUGCAACCCGACUUCGUGAAGCUGGAUUCGCUAGUAAUCGCGCAUCAGCCACGGCGCGGUGAAUACGUUCCC
Molecule: ribosomal RNA, 1017 nt
Filed under: uncultured bacterium
Lineage: Bacteria
Description: bacterial SSU rRNA
Rfam family: Bacterial small subunit ribosomal RNA
Source: RNAcentral